RNAcentral lists this ribosomal RNA (253 nucleotides) under uncultured bacterium. RNAcentral's name for it is "partial 16S ribosomal RNA". It matches the Rfam family "Bacterial small subunit ribosomal RNA", at positions 524 to 776 of the family's 1533-position model. The record is from RNAcentral.
UACGGAGGGUGCAAGCGUUGUUCGGAAUUACUGGGCGUAAAGCGCACGUAGGCGGGUUCGUAAGUCGAUUGUGAAAGCCCCGGGCUCAAUCCGGGAAUUGCAGUCGAAACUACGAGUCUUGAAUACCUGAGAGGGUGACGGAAUUCCUGGUGUAGAAGUGAAAUUCGUAGAUAUCAGGAGGAACACCGGAGGCGAAGGCGGUUGCCUGGCAGUGUAUUGACGCUGAGGUGCGAAAGCGUGGGGAGCAAACAGG